RNAcentral lists this ribosomal RNA (440 nucleotides) under uncultured bacterium. RNAcentral describes it as "partial 16S ribosomal RNA". It matches the Rfam family "Bacterial small subunit ribosomal RNA", at positions 338 to 795 of the family's 1533-position model. The record is from RNAcentral.
CCUACGGGUGGCAGCAGUGGGGGAUAUUGCACAAUGUGGGAAACCCUGAUGCAGCGACGCCGCGUGGGUGAAGAAGCGCCUCGGCGCGUAAAGCCCUGUCAGCAGGGAAGAAAAUGACGGUACCUGAAGACGAAGCCCCGGCUAACUACGUGCCAGCAGCCGCGGUAAUACGUAGGGGGCAAGCGGUAUCAGGAUUUACGUGGUGUAAAGGGGGCGCAGACGGCGAUGCAAGCCAGGAGUGAACGCCCGGGGCCCAACCCCGGGACUGCUCUUGGAACUGCGUGGCUAGAGUGCAGGAGGGGCAGGCGGAAUGCCUGGUGGAGCGGUGAAAUGCGUAGAUAUCAGGAGGAACACCGGUGGCGAAGGCGGCCUGCUGGACUGCAACUGACGUUGAGGCCCGAAAGCGUGGGGAGCAAACAGGAUUAGAUACCCGGGUAGUC